GAUCCUGGCUCAGGAUGAACGCUAGCGGCAGGCCUAACACAUGCAAGUCGAGGGGCAUCACGAGGUAGCAAUACUUUGGUGGCGACCGGCGCACGGGUGCGUAACGCGUAUGUAACCUACCUAUAACAAGGGCAUAACACUGAGAAAUCGGUACUAAUUCCCCAUAAUAUUCGGAGAGGCAUCUCUCCGGGUUGAAAACUCCGGUGGUUAUAGAUGGACAUGCGUUGUAUUAGCUAGUUGGUGAGGG
RNAcentral lists this ribosomal RNA (247 nucleotides) under uncultured bacterium. RNAcentral describes it as "partial 16S ribosomal RNA". It matches the Rfam family "Bacterial small subunit ribosomal RNA", at positions 15 to 258 of the family's 1533-position model. The record is from RNAcentral.